This 768-nucleotide ribosomal RNA is filed under the name uncultured bacterium. RNAcentral describes it as "bacterial SSU rRNA". It matches the Rfam family "Archaeal small subunit ribosomal RNA", at positions 133 to 903 of the family's 1478-position model. The record is from RNAcentral.
CGGGAAACUGAGUAUAAUGCCCGAUAGAACACUAUACCUGGAAUGGUUUGUGUUCCAAAUGAAUGUCGCCGUAGGAUGGGACUGCGGCCUAUCAGUUUGUUGGUGAGGUAAUGGCCCACCAAGACUAUUACAGGUACGGGCUCUGAGAGGAGUAGCCCGGAGAUGGGUACUGAGACACGGACCCAGGCCCUAUGGGGCGCAGCAGGCGAGAAAACUUUGCAAUGUGCGAAAGCACGACAAGGUUAAUCCGAGUGGUUUGUGCUAAACGAACCUUUUGACAGUCCUAGAAACACUGUUGAAUAAGGGGUGGGCAAGUUCUGGUGUCAGCCGCCGCGGUAAAACCAGCACCUCAAGUGGUCAGGAUGAUUAUUGGGCCUAAAGCAUCCGUAGCCGGCUCUGUAAGUUUUCGGUUAAAUCUGUACGCUCAACGUACAGGCUGCCGGGAAUACUGCAGAGCUAGGGAGCGGGAGAGGUAGACGGUACUCGGUAGGAAGGGGUAAAAUCCUUUGAUCUAUUGAUGACCACCUGUGGCGAAGGCGGUCUACCAGAACACGUCCGACGGUGAGGGAUGAAAGCUGGGGGAGCAAACCGGAUUAGAUACCCGGGUAGUCCCAGCUGUAAACUAUGCAAACUCAGUGAUGCAUUGGCUUGUGGCCAAUGCAGUGCUGCAGGGAAGCCGUUAAGUUUGCCGCCUGGGAAGUACGUACGCAAGUAUGAAACUUAAAGGAAUUGGCGGGGGAGCACCACAAGGGGUGAAGCCUGCGGUUC